GUAAGGAAUAUUGGUCAAUGCCCGCAAGGGUGAACCAGCCAUUCCGCGUGGAGGAUGAAGGCCCUAUGGGUUGUAAACUUCUUUUAGAUGGGAAGAAAAUGCUAGAUGUAUCUGGUACUGACGGUACCAUCAGAAUAAGCACCGGCUAACUCCGUGCCAGCAGCCGCGGUAAUACGGAGGGUGCGAGCGUUAUCCGGAAUUACUGGGUUUAAAGGGUGCGUAGGCGGAUGAUUAAGUCUAAGGUGAAAGUUUGUCGCUUAACGAUAAAAUUGCCUUGGAUACUGGUUAUCUUGAAUAAGGAUGAGGAUGGCGGAAUGUGGCAUGUAGCGGUGAAAUGCAUAGAUAUGCCAUAGAACACCAAUUGCGAAGGCAGCUAUCUGGUCUUUUAUUGACGCUGAGGCACGAAAGCGUGGGGAUCGAACAGGAUUAGAAACCCUAGUAGUCC
RNAcentral lists this ribosomal RNA (445 nucleotides) under uncultured bacterium. RNAcentral's name for it is "bacterial SSU rRNA". It matches the Rfam family "Bacterial small subunit ribosomal RNA", at positions 354 to 796 of the family's 1533-position model. The record is from RNAcentral.